AAUUAAAAGAGGGACUAACACAAACGUUUCCCUCAUGUGUAGGAUUAAAACAGGGUUGUAUAUUAAGCCCUACAUUAUUUUCAUUGUAUAUAAAUGAACUGGUUGAAAUGUUUGACCACAAAUGUGAUCCGGCAUGCCUUGAUAAUAAACAAGUGUCUUGUCUUCUCUAUGCAGAUGAUUUAGUAGUAAUAUCAGAAUCUGCAUCUGGCCUACAAAAUGCUUUAGAUAAAUUAAAUAUAUUUUGUGAAAAAUGGAAUCUAUCUGUUAAUCUUAAUAAAACCAAAAUUAUAAUAUUCAAUAAAGCAGGGAAAAUUAUUAAAAAGCACAAAUUCUAUUAUAAUGGAAAAUUACUAGAGUUAACUGAUGAAUACAAGUAUCUAGGUAUAAUUUUUAAACCAUCUGGAUCUUUUACUACAGCAAUUGAUCAGUUAUGUAAAAAGGCUAGCAAAGCUAUAUUUUGUAUUAGAAAACUAUUAUUUUCUGAAAAGAUGAAUUUACUACCAC
Molecule: long non-coding RNA, 504 nt
Filed under: Mytilus galloprovincialis (Mediterranean mussel)
Lineage: Eukaryota; Metazoa; Mollusca; Bivalvia; Mytilida; Mytilidae
Source: RNAcentral